GCUCAGUAACACGUGGACAACCUGCCCUAGGGACAGGGAUAACCUUGGGAAACUGAGGCUAAUACCUGAUAGGGUAAAGAUACCGGAAUGUUCUUUACCUUAAACAUUUAUGGCCCUAGGAUGGGUCUGCGGCAGAUUAGCCAGUUGGUAAGGUAACGGCCUACCAAAGCUAUAAUCUGUACGGGUGAUGGGAGUCAUGGCCCGGAGAAGAGGACUGAGACAAGGCCUCUAGCCCUACGGGGUGCAGCAGUUACGAAACCUUUACAAUGCACGAAAGUGUGAUAAGGGGACUCCAAGUGAUUAUGCACAAAGUAUAAUCUUUUGCCAAGUGUAGAUAGCUCGGCGAAUAAGGACUGGGCAAGACCCGUGCCAGCCGCCGCGGUAAUACGGGCAGUCCAAGUGGUGCUCACGAGUAUUGGGCUUAGAGCGUCCGUAGCUGGUUUUGUAAGUCUUCUGUGAAAGCCUAUUGCUUAACUUUAGGAAGUGCAGAAGAAACUACAAGACUUGGAGGCGGGAGAGGUCAGGGGUACUCUUGGAGUAGCGGUGGAAUGCAAUAAUCCCAAGAGGACCACCGGUAGCGAAGGCGCCUGACUAGAACGCACUCAACAGUGAGGGACUAAAGCUAGGGGAGCGACAGGGAUUAGAUACCCCUUUAGUCCUAGCCGUCAAGGAUGCAGACUAGGUGUCACAUAACCCUCGAGGUUGUGUGGUGCCGAAGGGAAACCAUUAAGUCUGCCGCCUGGGGAGUACGGUCGCAAGGUUGAAACUUAAAGGAAUUGGCGGGGGAGCACCACAAGCGGUGGAGGGUGUGGUUUAAUUGGAUAAAACGCCCGACAUCUCACCAUGGGCGACAGCAGAAUGACGAUCAGUCUAAGGGGCUUUUCUGACGCGCUGAGAGCUGGUGCAUGGCCAUCGUCAGCUCGUGCUAUGAAGUGUCCUCUUAAGUGAGGUAACGAGCGAGACCCACGCCUCUAGUUGCUAAGUGUUUCAUUAUGAUUCACAGGACUCUAGAGGGACUGCCAGAGAUAAUCUGGAGGAGGGAGUGGGCGACGGUAGGUCAGUAUGCCGCGAAUCUCAUGGGCUACACGCGCCCUACAUUGACAGGCACAACGGGAUGCAACUCCGAGAGGAGAAGCUAAUCUCUUAAAACCUGCCUAAGUUUGGAUUGAGGAUUGAAACUCAUCCUCAUGAAAAUGGAAUCGCUAGUAAUCGCGGGUCACUAUCCCGCGGUGAAUCUGUCCCUGCUCCUUGCACACACCAAGCCGA
This 1266-nucleotide ribosomal RNA is filed under the name uncultured archaeon. RNAcentral's name for it is "bacterial SSU rRNA". It matches the Rfam family "Archaeal small subunit ribosomal RNA", at positions 88 to 1353 of the family's 1478-position model. The record is from RNAcentral.